Molecule: long non-coding RNA, 569 nt
Organism: Oncorhynchus mykiss (rainbow trout)
Lineage: Eukaryota; Metazoa; Chordata; Actinopteri; Salmoniformes; Salmonidae
Source: Ensembl
AUGCCUUCUCUCAAGAUUGGGACAUGCUGUGCCCCAAUACUCCUCUCCUUCCUGAGGAGUCUAACUGAUGACCAAUGGAGAGUGAUUCAGCAGGGCAUGAAAAAUAAUCUCACAUUCGAGCAGCUCUCCAUGCUGUGUCUGAAGAUUGUUAAAGUCGUGACCCAGACAGCCCUCCGCAUUCUCCUACCAGCGCUAGCUCGUAUCAUGGGGGUGAACCUGAGGAGUGGGGCAACCUCCCCAGAAUCCCAGUGCUCUCUGACAGGGUCUGAGGAUUCCUUAGGCAGUCUGGAUGAGAGAGAGAAAAGGCUGCUGAUCAGUGAGAUGAACUACUGGACUAAGGAGAGGAGGAGGAAUGGCAGUGCAGGAUGCCGCCAAAAAUCCACUCGCAGGACCUCAUCACCAUGCUGUUCGCCUAAGAGGUAUGUUCACAGCAAUAUUUCAACAUAAUAAUUGCAAGACCUGAUCCAUACUUAUCAUAAAUUAUUAACUUGGAAUUCACACCUUGUAGUUUUAAGUUCUGGUAAGUUCUGGUUCUGGAAAUGUUGCCACUGGGGGGGUGGGUCCAGGUG